AAGAGCAAAUGUGUUCUCUGUGAGGAGGAGCCCAAUGAAUAUCUUCAACAUAUUUUCUUCAACUGUGAUUUCAGUCAAAAAAUUUGGAUGAAUUUGGGAUUGGAAUGGAACACUGACCUGAAUAUCAAUGACAUGAUGAUGGAAGCCAAAAAUAGAAUCAACAUGGUAGGAUUCAAGGAAUGCAUAAUGGCAGGAUGUUGGAGCAUCUGGAAACACAGAAAUGCCAUCAUUUUUUACAACAAAACCAAAGACACUGCAUAUUGCAUAUCAUGCUUCAAGGAGCACAUCAGCACCAUCAUCAAGAAGACAAAACCUAGUCUAAAAGAGGGAAUGCAAGCUUGGCUAGACACUUUUUAA
Molecule: ribosomal RNA, 357 nt
Filed under: Triticum aestivum (bread wheat)
Lineage: Eukaryota; Viridiplantae; Streptophyta; Magnoliopsida; Poales; Poaceae
Description: partial small subunit ribosomal RNA
Source: RNAcentral